This 357-nucleotide ribosomal RNA is filed under the name Pseudoalteromonas sp. SF091-1. RNAcentral's name for it is "bacterial SSU rRNA". It matches the Rfam family "Bacterial small subunit ribosomal RNA", at positions 443 to 801 of the family's 1533-position model. Lineage: Bacteria; Pseudomonadati; Pseudomonadota; Gammaproteobacteria; Alteromonadales; Pseudoalteromonadaceae. The record is from RNAcentral.
GUUAGUAGUUAAUACCUGCUAGCUGUGACGUUACUUACAGAAGAAGCACCGGCUAACUCCGUGCCAGCAGCCGCGGUAAUACGGAGGGUGCGAGCGUUAAUCGGAAUUACUGGGCGUAAAGCGUACGCAGGCGGUUUGUUAAGCGAGAUGUGAAAGCCCCGGGCUCAACCUGGGAACUGCAUUUCGAACUGGCAAACUAGAGUGUGAUAGAGGGUGGUAGAAUUUCAGGUGUAGCGGUGAAAUGCGUAGAGAUCUGAAGGAAUACCGAUGGCGAAGGCAGCCACCUGGGUCAACACUGACGCUCAUGUACGAAAGCGUGGGGAGCAAACAGGAUUAGAUACCCUGGUAGUCCACGCC